UUUUAAUAGAAAUAAUUAUUAAUAUAACCUGCUCAAUGAAUUUUAAAUAGCCGCAAUUUGUGCUAAGGUAGCAUAAUCAUUUGUCUUUUAAUUUAAGACUAGAACGAAAGGUUAAACAUUUUAAUUCCUAUAUAUUUAAAAAAAUUUAAAUUAUUUUAAAUAUAAAAAAAUAUUUAUAAAAUAAAAAGACAACAAGACCCUAUUAAACUUUACUUUAGUUAAACUGGGGUAGUUAAUUAAAUAAAAUUUUAAUUUAAAUUUAAAUUAAAUAGACCCAAUAAAAUUGAUUACUUGAACAAGUUACUAUAGGGAUAACAGCGUAAUAAUUUUUUAAAGACCUUAUAAAAAAAAUUGAUUGCGACCUCGAUGUUGAAUAAUAUUCUAUUUUAUGCAAAAAUAAAAUAAGAAAGUCUGUUCGACUUUUAAAUAAUUACA
Molecule: ribosomal RNA, 435 nt
Filed under: Mallos pallidus
Lineage: Eukaryota; Metazoa; Arthropoda; Arachnida; Araneae; Dictynidae
Description: partial 16S ribosomal RNA
Source: RNAcentral